CUGGCUCAGGAUGAACGCUAGCGACAGGCCUAACACAUGCAAGUCGAGGGGUAACAGGGGAGCUUGCUUCCGCUGACGACCGGCGCACGGGUGAGUAACGCGUAUGCAACCUACCUGUAACAGGGGGAUAGCUCCCUGAAAGGGGAAUUAACACCGCAUAAGACUACGGCAUCACAUGGUGCAGUGGUAAAAUAUUUAUAGGUUACAGAUGGGCAUGCGUGACAUUAGCUAGUUGGCGGGGUAACGGCCCACCAAGGCUACGAUGUCUAGGGGUUCUGAGAGGAAGGUCCCCCACACUGGUACUGAGACACGGACCAGACUCCUACGGGAGGCAGCAGUGAGGAAUAUUGGUCAAUGGGCGCAAGCCUGAACCAGCCAUGUCGCGUGCAGGAAG
This 394-nucleotide ribosomal RNA is filed under the name Alkalitalea saponilacus. RNAcentral's name for it is "bacterial SSU rRNA". It matches the Rfam family "Bacterial small subunit ribosomal RNA", at positions 19 to 410 of the family's 1533-position model. Lineage: Bacteria; Pseudomonadati; Bacteroidota; Bacteroidia; Marinilabiliales; Marinilabiliaceae. The record is from RNAcentral.